GUAGUCCCGGCUGUAAACGAUGUCGACUUGGAGGUUGUGCCCUUGAGGCGUGGCUUCCGGAGCUAACGCGUUAAGUCGACCGCCUGGGGAGUACGGCCGCAAGGUUAAAACUCAAAUGAAUUGACGGGGGCCCGCACAAGCGGUGGAGCAUGUGGUUUAAUUCGAUGCAACGCGAAGAACCUUACCUGGUCUUGACAUCCACGGAAGUUUUCAGAGAUGAGAAUGUGCCUUCGGGAACCGUGAGACAGGUGCUGCAUGGCUGUCGUCAGCUCGUGUUGUGAAAUGUUGGGUUAAGUCCCGCAACGAGCGCAACCCUUAUCCUUUGUUGCCAGCGGUCCGGCCGGGAACUCAAAGGAGACUGCCAGUGAUAAACUGGAGGAAGGUGGGGAUGACGUCAAGUCAUCAUGGCCCUUACGACCAGGGCUACACACGUGCUACAAUGGCGCAUACAAAGAGAAGCGACCUCGCGAGAGCAAGCGGACCUCAUAAAGUGCGUCGUAGUCCGGAUUGGAGUCUGCAACUCGACUCCAUGAAGUCGGAAUCGCUAGUAAUCGUGGAUCAGAAUGCCACGGUGAAUACGUUCCCGGGCCUUGUACACACCGCCCGUCACACCAUGGGAGUGGGUUGCAAAAGAAGUAGGUAGCUUAACCUUCGGGAGGGCGCUUACCACUUUGUGAUUCAUGACUGGGGUGAAGUCGUAACAAGGUAACCGUAGGGGAACCUGCGGCUGGAUCACCUCC
This 740-nucleotide ribosomal RNA is filed under the name uncultured bacterium. RNAcentral describes it as "bacterial SSU rRNA". It matches the Rfam family "Bacterial small subunit ribosomal RNA", at positions 790 to 1530 of the family's 1533-position model. The record is from RNAcentral.